CCCAUGGCGGUGGUGUGCCGUGUGCCAGAAUGAAAUUUUGUCCAAAAAAGGAACAUGGUGCCACUGCUGGACGCCCAUAUAUAUGGGCCGUUAUGAUCGAACAUGGGCCCGGCUAAGUAGCCCAUUAAAGCCCAGUGGUAAAAUGUAUACUGUGCGCAGAGCAGUCACAGACUCCCGGCGAUUCCUAUCCCCAAUCACGGACGCCGGCCGGCCAGUCGGAAUUAGUCCUCCACCUUCCUCCUUCCUUCCCUUCAAGCAGCCGGCGAGCGUCGCCGGGGACCUGUGAGGAGGUCGGGGAAGAAAAGUUGCUCCUUGCUUCCCGCGACGGCCGGAGAGGUCGCCGUGGCGGAGGCGGGAGAUGGCUCCGGCGGCCGUUCGAAUAGGGUUUGCACAGCCCAGCGGUUAGGCCAUCCCUGUCCUGUGCAAUGUCAAGGAUUUCUGCGGUGCUGCGGCGCCUGUUCCGCAGUGAUUCCGCAUCCGGCACUACCCUCUUCCGGCAUGGACGAUGCGAAUGGAACACGAUGAUGCUGAUCACGUACGGGGUGAGGGGGAUGAGGAGGAGCGCGUGAGAGCUGGCAGGCGUUGCGGUGUGACUGUAGCGCGCCGGAGCUGGAGAAGACGGCGAGGCAGAGGUUGCAGCCACGGGAGGCGAAGGUGGCGGCGCAGGCAGGCUUGGGGAGCGAGCCAGUGAGGUGGUCCCGGAGUGCGUCGAGGGAGCGGCAGCGCUUGCCGCAGACACCGCAGCGGGGCUCGUGCGGUGAGUGGUAUGAGGCCCGCAUGUGGUCCACCAGGUGCUCCAUCUUGUUGAACUCGCGGUAGCACGCCGCACACCUGUUCCGCCUGCAUAUGUAUCAUCAUCAGCAGAACUCAGAAGAAGAAAGAUAAACAUAUAUAUAUUCUGUUGUUGUCUCUGUUUUUUUUUUGUUUCAGAAUCGAUCUGCUCUUGGCAUCAUUCUGUGUGGUGCAAUGCAAUGUGGCACGCAUUCGUCGUAGCAGAGUUCGUUCGACGAAGUAAAAGAAGAAAGCCAAAGAAGAUGGAGUAGUGACAAACCGCACCUGUGAGCAUCUGAAGAGCUAUCCAUGGCCACCUCACCUUGACUAAGCAGGACUACUGCAAGGACAGCAGCAGGCAGGAGUUGUUGUGGUUUGGUUUGGUUUGCAAGGCAAUCUCUGCAAAUGAACGCCUAUUUAUCUGCCUGCAAGACGGACGGAAUGCGAUUCUUGACGCCAAGCCAUCUUCACCGAUGGCCACAACCAACGAUGCUGCUUUUCCUUUGCAGCAUAUGUUUUGGUGAACAUUACAAGGAUAUUCACUCACUGGGGGGCAUCUACAUACUGUGUGUGUGCAACUGAGCGAGCAGCAUAUUCAUGGUUCAGCAGGAGAUGGAUGCACCAGGAAGGAGCCAGCCGUCGCGGGCAAACUUCUCAAGGCAUAUUAUCUGUCAGAGCCACGCUGCAUCGGUUCUCCUCUUCUUCUUUUUUUGAGUAAUUCGGUUCUCCUCUUUUGUCUUUAGUCACUGUCCUUAAAUAAAGUUCUUUUCAGUAUAGAACAAGCCUGUCUAUAAAGCAGUGACCUGUAAUAUGCACUUAUAUUCACCUUGGAAAGGUAAAAUCUCUGGUAAAAUGAAAGUACGCAACACUUAAUGUUUGACUGUGUAAUUGCUAAGCUCCUGUGGCAAGAAUUAGAACAAUUUUCUUUCUGGUGUCAAAAUUUGCAACUUUAGCUCUGUAGCACAGUUCUGGAUCCAGCAUCAAGAAAAUAGCUAUUUCCAAUGUUUCUAUCCCAUGGUGACUGUGAAUAGUAUGAUUUUCAAUAAUAGUAUUUGGUUGAUUAUGAAACAGAUUUUGGGGCAAAUUCUUCGCAAUCUGAAAGACUGGAAAACGUUGCUGCCUGGGAAGGGAAUGCCCAGGAGGAGUUGGACAGGCACAUCUGCUGAGCACUCUGCACAGGCCUCUGCUUUUAACACCAAGGAUGGAGAUGCAGUAGUUUGUUUCGUUCUGUUUUUAUCUGUUCCAAUGAAUGUACUGGAAGAGCUGAUUGGAGGUAUCAUUUUAAUAAAAUGGAGCCCCUGGGUUUUCUUUAGAAGAAAUGUCUGCUAAUAUUGCUGCAGAGUACUACAUGUGCAUUAUAAUUGUCAGUCACCAGCACACAAGUUGACAGUUCAUCUGUCAGUAAAAGGUCUUGCUGAAAUGCAGAAUGCACUGAGAAAGGAAGAACAAGAUACCCCGGUCAAAAGGUCCCGGUUUGAAAAAGGGACAAUGAACAGAACAAAAGAGGAUGGAAUUAUGGAAAGAUUGAAGGGCAGGCAGAGGCUGAUGAUUGGCUCCUGCAAUGCAAUGCGUGAUCCAUCCUUUGGCGGUGGCGCAGAGCCGCACAGGGGAGGGCAGAAGGAUAUGCCAUGAACAUACCGUCUUUGCACUUUGGUCUUUGGGAGAUGUUGCCAUCGUGUUGCAAGCUAGUUAAAGGACUGCUGUAGCCGAUCCUGGGCAUA
Molecule: long non-coding RNA, 2492 nt
Organism: Brachypodium distachyon (stiff brome)
Lineage: Eukaryota; Viridiplantae; Streptophyta; Magnoliopsida; Poales; Poaceae
Exons: 4
Source: RefSeq, a predicted model, not a curated record